RNAcentral lists this ribosomal RNA (496 nucleotides) under uncultured bacterium. Its description in RNAcentral is "partial 16S ribosomal RNA". It matches the Rfam family "Bacterial small subunit ribosomal RNA", at positions 28 to 506 of the family's 1533-position model. The record is from RNAcentral.
GAUGAACGCUGGCGGCGUGCCUAAUACAUGCAAGUCGAGCGAACGGACGAGAAGCUUGCUUCUCUGAUGUUAGCGGCGGACGGGUGAGUAACACGUGGAUAACCUACCUAUAAGACUGGGAUAACUUCGGGAAACCGGAGCUAAUACCGGAUAAUAUUUUGAACCGCAUGGUUCAAAAGUGAAAGACGGUCUUGCUGUCACUUAUAGAUGGAUCCGCGCUGCAUUAGCUAGUUGGUAAGGUAACGGCUUACCAAGGCAACGAUGCAUAGCCGACCUGAGAGGGUAAUCGCCCCCACUGGAAUGAGAACCCGGCCCAGACCCCUAGGGGGGGCAGCGGUGGGAAUUUUUCCGAAAGGGGCAAAGGCCGGAGGGAUAAACCCCGGGUGGGUAAUAAGGGCUUCGGGGUCUAAAAACUCUUUUUUUGGGAAAAAAAAUAUGUGUAAGUAACUGUGCACAUUUUGAGGGUCCCAAAUAAAAAAGCCACGGCUAACUACGU